AGAGUUUGAUCCUGGCUCAGGACGAACGUUGGCGGUGCGCUUAAUGCAUGCAAGUCGAGGGAGAACCUUUCGAUCCGUAAGGACCGGAUGGGGAAACCGGCGAACGGGUGCGUAACACGUGAGGAACCUGCCCCGAAGACCGGGAUAGCCCGAGGAAACUCGGAUUAAUACCGGAUACCCUCCUCGGACCACAUGGUCUGUUGAGGAAAUGGUCCGCCGCUUCGGGAUGGCCUCGCGGCCUAUCAGCUUGUUGGUGAGGUAAUGGCUCACCAAGGCAAAGACGGGUAGCUGGUCUGAGAGGACGAUCAGCCACACUGGGACUGAGACACGGCCCAGACUCCUACGGGAGGCAGCAGCAGGGAAUAUUGCACAAUGGGCGAAAGCCUGAUGCAGCGACACCGCGUGCGGGAUGAAGGCCCUCGGGUUGUAAACCGCUUUCAGGAGGGACGAAAAUGACGGUACCUCCAGAAGAAGGCCCGGCCAACUACGUGCCAGCAGCCGCGGUAAUACGUAGGGGCCAAACGUUGUCCGGAUUUAUUGGGCGUAAAGGGCUCGUAGGCGGUUCAACAAGUCGAUCGUGAAAGCCCGGGGCUCAACCCCGGGACGCCGGUCGAAACUGUUGUGACUAGGGUCCGGUAGAGGUGAGUGGAAUUCUCGGUGUAGCGGUGGAAUGCGCAAAUAUCCAGAGGAACACCAGUU
Molecule: ribosomal RNA, 699 nt
Filed under: uncultured bacterium
Lineage: Bacteria
Description: bacterial SSU rRNA
Rfam family: Bacterial small subunit ribosomal RNA
Source: RNAcentral